CGCCUAACACAUGCAGGUCGAACGGACCUAUUAAGAUGGAAGCUUCGGCCGAAGUCUUUUGUGGUUAGUGGCAAACGGGUGAGUAAUAUAUAGGUAAUCUGCCCUCGAGACUGGGAUAACGUUCCGAAAGGGACGCUAAUACCGGAUACUCUCUUUUUAUCCAUGAUGAGAAGAGGAAAAGUCCGCUGCUCGAGGAGGGGCCUAUAUCAGAUUAGCUUGUUGGUGGGGUAAUGGCCUACCAAGGCAAUGAUCUGUAGCUGGUCUGAGAGGAUGGUCAGCCACACUGGGACUGCGACACGGCCCAGACUCCUACGGGAGGCAGCAGUGGGGAAUAUUGCGCAAUGGAGGAAACUCUGACGCAGCGACGCCGCGUGAGUGAUGAAGUCUUUCGGGAUGUAAAACUC
Molecule: ribosomal RNA, 404 nt
Filed under: uncultured organism
Description: bacterial SSU rRNA
Rfam family: Bacterial small subunit ribosomal RNA
Source: RNAcentral